This 227-nucleotide unclassified non-coding RNA is filed under the name Hevea brasiliensis (rubber tree). Lineage: Eukaryota; Viridiplantae; Streptophyta; Magnoliopsida; Malpighiales; Euphorbiaceae. The record is from RNAcentral.
GGUACUUCCAGCCCACCUCGUGUGCCAGGCGGCCCAGGAACGCAAACUUGCGGGUGGGCUUCAGGCGGAUGAUCUUCAGCGCCGCCGGGACCACCAUGCGCUUGCGCUUGUCAUACGGGGGGGGGAUCCCAUCAAACACCUUCAGCCUCUCCAGCGCCGCCUGCCCCCGCUUGGUCUUAUGGGGCAGCAUCCCUCGCACCGUGCGCCAGAAGAUGCGGCUGGGGGCC